GACGAACCGUACGAACGUUAUUCGGAAUUACUGGGCGUAAAGGAUGCGUAGGCGGACAUUUAAGUCAGAUGUGAAAUACCCGAGCUUAACUUGGGUGCUGCAUUUGAAACUGGGUGUCUAGAGUGCAGGAGAGGUAAGUGGAAUUCCUAGUGUAGCGGUGAAAUGCGUAGAGAUUAGGAAGAACACCAGUGGCGAAGGCGACUUACCGGACUGUAACUGACGCUGAGGCAUGAAAGCGUGGGGAGCAAACAGG
Molecule: ribosomal RNA, 253 nt
Filed under: uncultured bacterium
Lineage: Bacteria
Description: partial 16S ribosomal RNA
Rfam family: Bacterial small subunit ribosomal RNA
Source: RNAcentral